UGCUUAACACAUGCAAGUCGAACGGAAAGGCCCUGCUUUUGUGGGGUGCUCGAGUGGCGAACGGGUGAGUAACACGUGAGUAACCUGCCCUUGACUUUGGGAUAACUUCAGGAAACUGGGGCUAAUACCGGAUAGGAGCUCCUGCUGCAUGGUGGGGGUUGGAAAGUUUCGGCGGUUGGGGAUGGACUCGCGGCUUAUCAGCUUGUUGGUGGGGUAGUGGCUUACCAAGGCUUUGACGGGUAGCCGGCCUGAGAGGGUGACCGGCCACAUUGGGACUGAGAUACGGCCCAGACUCCUACGGGAGGCAGCAGUGGGGAAUAUUGCACAAUGGGCGGAAGCCUGAUGCAGCAACGCCGCGUGCGGGAUGACGGCCUUCGGGUUGUAAACCGCUUUCGCCUGUGACGAAGCGUGAGUGACGGUAAUGGGUAAAGAAGCACCGGCUAACUACGUGCCAGCAGCCGCGGUGAUACGUAGGGUGCGAGCGUUGUCCGGAUUUAUUGGGCGUAAAGGGCUCGUAGGUGGUUGAUCGCGUCGGAAGUGUAAUCUUGGGGCUUAACCCUGAGCGUGCUUUCGAUACGGGUUGACUUGAGGAAGGUAGGGGAGAAUGGAAUUCCUGGUGGAGCGGUGGAAUGCGCAGAUAUCAGGAGGAACACCAGUGGCGAAGGCGGUUCUCUGGGCCUUUCCUGACGCUGAGGAGCGAAAGCGUGGGGAGCGAACAGGCUUAGAUACCCUGGUAGUCCACGCUGUAAACGGUGGGUACUAGGUGUGGGGUCCAUUCCACGGGUUCCGUGCCGUAGCUAACGCUUUAAGUACCCCGCCUGGGGAGUACGGCCGCAAGGCUAAAACUCAAAGGAAUUGACGGGGCCCCGCACAAGCGGCGGAGCAUGCGGAUUAAUUCGAUGCAACGCGUAGAACCUUACCUGGGUUUGACAUGGAUCGGGAGUGCUCAGAGAUGGGUGUGCCUCUUUUGGGGUCGGUUCACAGGUGGUGCAUGGCUGUCGUCAGCUCGUGUCGUGAGAUGUUGGGUUAAGUCCCGCAACGAGCGCAACCCUUGUUCACUGUUGCCAGCACGUUAUGGUGGGGACUCAGUGGAGACCGCCGGGGUCAACUCGGAGGAAGGUGGGGAUGACGUCAAGUCAUCAUGCCCCUUAUGUCCAGGGCUUCACGCAUGCUACAAUGGCUGGUACAGAGAGUGGCGAGCCUGUGAGGGUGAGCGAAUCUCGGAAAGCCGGUCUCAGUUCGGAUUGGGGUCUGCAACUCGACCUCAUGAAGUCGGAGUCGCUAGUAAUCGCAGAUCAGCAACGCUGCGGUGAAUACGUUCCCGGGGCUUGUACACACCGCCCGUCAAGUCAUGAAAGUUGGUAACACCCGAAGCCGGUGGCCUAACCGUUGUGGGGGAGCCGUCGAAGGUGGGACUGGUGAUUAGGACUAAGUCAU
Molecule: ribosomal RNA, 1437 nt
Filed under: uncultured organism
Description: partial small subunit ribosomal RNA
Rfam family: Bacterial small subunit ribosomal RNA
Source: RNAcentral